AAUCCUGCUCAGUACAAGAGGAACUGCAGUUUCAGACGUGGUGUCUAGUCUUGGCUGAGGAGCCAGUGGUGUGAAGCUGUGUUCUGUAGGAUUACGACUGAAUGCCUCCGAAACAGAAUCUCC
This 123-nucleotide non-coding RNA is filed under the name Lepisosteus oculatus (spotted gar). Its description in RNAcentral is "Eukaryotic large subunit ribosomal RNA". It matches the Rfam family "Eukaryotic large subunit ribosomal RNA", at positions 3021 to 3145 of the family's 3401-position model. Lineage: Eukaryota; Metazoa; Chordata; Actinopteri; Semionotiformes; Lepisosteidae. The record is from Rfam by way of RNAcentral.